GUCGAGAGGCUUUGGCAAUGGGGGAAACCCUGACCAAGCGACGCCGCGUGGGGGAUGAAGGCCCUUGGGUUGUAAACCCCUUUUGUUCGGGAAGAAGUGCGAUCAGGUGAACAAUCUGGUCGUUUGACGGUACCGGACGAAUAAGCUCCGGCUAACUCCGUGCCAGCAGCCGCGGUAACACGGGGGGAGCAAGCGUUGUUCGGAAUCACUGGGCGUAAAGGGCGUGUAGGCGGUUCGGUAAGUGAGAUGUGAAAUGCCCCGGCUCACCCGGGGACCUGCAUCUCAAACUGCCGGACUAGAGUAUGGGAGAGGAUGAGGGAAUUCCUGGUGUAGCGGUGAAAUGCGUAGAUAUCAGGAGGAACACCGGUGGCGAAAGCGCUCAUCUGGCCCAAUACUGACGCUGAGGCGCGAAAGCUAGGGGAGCAAACGGGAUUAGAUACCCCAGUAGUCC
Molecule: ribosomal RNA, 451 nt
Filed under: uncultured bacterium
Lineage: Bacteria
Description: bacterial SSU rRNA
Rfam family: Bacterial small subunit ribosomal RNA
Source: RNAcentral